RNAcentral lists this ribosomal RNA (453 nucleotides) under uncultured Porphyromonadaceae bacterium. Its description in RNAcentral is "partial 16S ribosomal RNA". It matches the Rfam family "Bacterial small subunit ribosomal RNA", at positions 341 to 792 of the family's 1533-position model. The record is from RNAcentral. Lineage: Bacteria; Pseudomonadati; Bacteroidota; Bacteroidia; Bacteroidales; Porphyromonadaceae.
ACGGGAGGCAGCAGUGAGGAAUAUUGGUCAAUGGGCGGAAGCCUGAACCAGCCAAGUCGCGUGAAGGAUGAAGGUAUUAUGUAUUGUAAACUUCUUUAGCAGUGGAGUAAUAAGGGAGUCGUGACUCCUGAUGCAAGUACACUGAAAAUAAGGAUCGGCUAACUCCGUGCCAGCAGCCGCGGUAAUACGGAGGAUCCGAGCGUUAUCCGGAUUUAUUGGGUUUAAAGGGUGCGCAGGCGGCCUUGUAAGUCAGCGGUUAAAUCGUGGAGCUCAACUCCAUCCCGCCGUUGAUACUGCAGGGCUUGAUUGCGGUUGAGGUUGGCGGAAUUCGUCGUGUAGCGGUGAAAUGCAUAGAUAUGACGAAGAACCCCGAUUGCGUAGGCAGCUGACCAAGCCGUAAAUGACGCUCAUGCACGAAAGUGCGGGGAUCGAACAGGAUUAGAUACCCUGGUA